This is a long non-coding RNA of Dermochelys coriacea (leatherback sea turtle), 1446 nucleotides long. RefSeq lists it as uncharacterized. NCBI's taxonomy places the organism in Eukaryota, Metazoa, Chordata, Testudines, Dermochelyidae. The transcript is spliced from 3 exons. The record is from RefSeq and is a predicted model, not a curated record.
GUUCCUAUAGAGGAAGUACUGCAGUGUCUUGAAAGGAGGAGAGCUGAAGUACUGAGCUUAUACCAUGGGACUGGGGCCCUGAAGGGGGAGGGCAGCAAAGGUGAAAGGGUUUUAGGCAGAGAAGCUAAGGGAUGCCUAGAGGAAGCUCCUUAACAACAGACUGGGAAAAGCUAUAUGAGGAGAUGAAACUCCACAGACAGGGGACCAGAGAGCACAUCCCCACAACAGAUGCUGCAAGCAGCUUGCCACCUGUGACAAGGAGAUGUGCAUGGAGUCAGCUCACAGCUUGGCACCUCUUCAUGGCUGUGCAUGGCAUGGAACCUACCUCUCUUUCAGGAUGGCAGCUGCAUCCCCUCAGCCAGAAUCUUUCAGCUUAAAAGGAUCUCAGAGUCCUUUAGAAACACAUCACAGCAGUGAAAUGCAACAGCUCUGGAGAGGAGAUAAAAGGAAGAUGGACAACUUGUACAAACCCAGACUGCACAAGAUCAGUAGGAGAGGCAAUUUUGGUCAAGCACACUGUGGUAGUCUAUAAACAACUCUAUCAAGAGUGUUCUGGGAUCUUUGGGGCCUGAUAUUCAAAAAUGUGUGCCAAAUUAUAUGUGCAAUCUAAGUAAUUCUAUGUGCAAACUAGGGAAGCAAUUCCAUAUGGUUUUUUUUUUUUAAAAAAUCAGACCUUUUUUAAUGUACAAGCUGAGCUGACAGAACCAGUUUAUGAGGCCUCACCCAAAAUAGCCAUGCACAAUACACUGUCUGGGACUCAACUUGUCUACCUCAAAAAGAAUAAGGAAAGCAAAUCUUCACUUUCAAGGACUAUUUCUACCUGAUGCUUACACUAGGAAGUCAGCCCAUCUCGCAGCUCCAGCCUUUAAGCCCCAAUUUCCUCUUCCUUUAGGUCUUUUUUAUACACCAGAAGAAAAGAGAGCAGAGACGCAACUUUUUUUCCACUGUAUAUCAUUUAAACAGGCACACACACACAUGAUUUUUCCAAUCUAGUGAAUUCAAAUCAUGUCAGUACUUCAGUUUAUCCAAAAUGUAAAAAUCUGUGUGUGUGUGUGUACCUGCAUGCAUGUACACGCAUUUACUUGGCACUACAUCCUAUAAUAUCAACCGGUCUAAUCAGACCAGAAGGAAAAGUUAGUUUACAAAAUCUUUGCUGAUGUUAGCAUUAGUAUUUUAGCAGUUUGGAGAGGAUAAGAAGGAAAGCACGGAAUAGAAAAUGUAUUUUAAUUAUUAGCAUUUGUUAAACCUCAGUAGGAUCAGUUGACACCUAUAAUAAUGUGACACUGUAUUAUCAACAUAGUUAGAUAUGAGGACUUCCACUUCUAUUGAAAUCAGUGGCAGAACCCACAUUGACUUCAGCAGGAGCAAUACUGGGCCCAUGAGCAUGGAACUGAUUAAUACAGUUAAAUCAAUCUUGGACAGUGCUAAUUUUUAAAAUCUUCAAUG